AGCUUUGCGCAGUGGCAGUAUCGUAGCCAAUGAGGUUUAUCCGAGGCGCGAUUAUUGCUAAUUGAAAGAUCUCCAUAUAUACAAUGGAAUGUUACUCAGCCAUCAGAAAGGAUGAAUACCCAAUAUUUACAUCAACAUGG
Molecule: small nuclear RNA, 140 nt
Organism: Mustela erminea (ermine)
Lineage: Eukaryota; Metazoa; Chordata; Mammalia; Carnivora; Mustelidae
Product: U4 spliceosomal RNA
Exons: 1
Source: RefSeq, a predicted model, not a curated record